AGAAUAUAGGGCUAUGCCUUGAGUUGAAUCUUCCUGUCAAGGAAUUUUCCAAAAAUCUAGGUUUUUACCAUGACCUGAAUCACAACAGAAUGUGUUAAAGGCUUUGGUAACUACCAAUAAUGCAUC
RNAcentral lists this unclassified non-coding RNA (126 nucleotides) under uncultured Basidiomycota. RNAcentral describes it as "sequence contains ITS2". Lineage: Eukaryota; Fungi; Basidiomycota. The record is from RNAcentral.